This is a non-coding RNA of Salmo salar (Atlantic salmon), 339 nucleotides long. The record is from RefSeq and is a predicted model, not a curated record. Lineage: Eukaryota; Metazoa; Chordata; Actinopteri; Salmoniformes; Salmonidae.
CGGUCUUGGCCUCGUAUAUAGUAGGUCUAUAAUCAGCUCUAAUAUACUUCUGAGUGUUUCUCAACGAAGCUAGCAUGCUAGGUGGCUAACAGCUAGGCUAACCGUUAGCCUAGGCUAACACCUAAAUGGUGGCCCCAUUGUUCUCAACGAGCUAGCAUGCUAGGUGGCUAACAGCUAGGCUAACCGUUAGCCUAGGCUAACACCUAAAUGGUGGCCCCAUUGUUCUCAACGAGCUAGCAUGCUAGGUGGCUAACAGCUAGGCUAACCGUUAGCCUAGGCUAACACCUAAAUGGUGGCCCCAUUGUUCUCAACGAGCUAGCAUGCUAGGUGGCUAACAGC